Molecule: ribosomal RNA, 492 nt
Filed under: uncultured bacterium
Lineage: Bacteria
Description: partial 16S ribosomal RNA
Rfam family: Bacterial small subunit ribosomal RNA
Source: RNAcentral
GAUGAACGCUAGCUACAGGCUUAACACAUGCAAGUCGAGGGGAAACGGCAUUGAGUGCUUGCACUCUUUGGACGUCGACCGGCGCACGGGUGAGUAACGCGUAUCCAACCUUCCCAUUACUGUGGGAUAACCUGCCGAAAGGCAGACUAAUACCGCAUAGUCUUCGAUGACGGCAUCAGAUUUGAAGUAAAGAUUUAUCGGUAAUGGAUGGGGAUGCGUCUGAUUAGCUUGUUGGCGGGGUAACGGCCCACCAAGGCUACGAUCAGUAGGGGUUCUGAGAGGAAGGUCCCCCACAUUGGAACUGAGACACGGUCCAAACUCCUACGGGAGGCAGCAGUGAGGAAUAGUGGGCAAUGGACGGAAGUCUGAACCAGCCAAGUAGCGUGCAGGAUGACGGCCCUAUGGGUUGUAAACUGCUUUUGUAUGGGGAUAAAGUUAGGGACGGGUCCCUAUUUGCAGGUACCAGACGAAUAAGGACCGGCUAAUUCCGUG